AGCGAACGCUGGCGGCAGGCCUAAUACAUGCAAGUCGAGCGGCCGUAGCAAUACGGCAGCGGCAGACGGGAGAGUAACACGUGGGAACGUACCCUUCGGUUCGGAACAACCCAGGGAAACUUGGGCUAAUACCGGAUACGUCCGUAAGGAGAAAGAUUUAUCGCCGAAGGAUCGGCCCGCGUCUGAUUAGCUUGUUGGUGAGGUAACGGCUCACCAAGGCGACGAUCAGUAGCUGGUCUGAGAGGAUGAUCAGCCUCACUGGGAGUGAGACACGGCCCAGACUCCUACGGGAGGCAGCAGUAGGGAAUAUUGGACAAUGGGCGCAAGCCUGAUCCAGCCAUGCCGCGUGAGUGAUGAAGGCCGUAGGGUUGUAAAGCUCUUUCGGCGGGGAAGAUAAUGACGGUACCCGCAGAAGAAGCCCCGGCUAACUUCGUGCCAGCAGCCGCGGUAA
Molecule: ribosomal RNA, 451 nt
Filed under: uncultured bacterium
Lineage: Bacteria
Description: partial 16S ribosomal RNA
Rfam family: Bacterial small subunit ribosomal RNA
Source: RNAcentral